RNAcentral lists this ribosomal RNA (465 nucleotides) under Vreelandella stevensii. RNAcentral's name for it is "partial 16S ribosomal RNA". It matches the Rfam family "Bacterial small subunit ribosomal RNA", at positions 338 to 795 of the family's 1533-position model. Lineage: Bacteria; Pseudomonadati; Pseudomonadota; Gammaproteobacteria; Oceanospirillales; Halomonadaceae. The record is from RNAcentral.
CCUACGGGAGGCAGCAGUGGGGAAUAUUGGACAAUGGGGGCAACCCUGAUCCAGCCAUGCCGCGUGUGUGAAGAAGGCCCUCGGGUUGUAAAGCACUUUCAGUGAGGAAGAACGCCUGGUGGUUAAUACCCAUCAGGAAAGACAUCACUCACAGAAGAAGCACCGGCUAACUCCGUGCCAGCAGCCGCGGUAAUACGGAGGGUGCGAGCGUUAAUCGGAAUUACUGGGCGUAAAGCGCGCGUAGGUGGCUUGAUAAGCCGGUCGUGAAAGCCCCGGGCUCAACCUGGGAACGGCAUCCGGAACUGUCAAGCUAGAGUGCAGGAGAGGAAGGUAGAAUUCCCGGUGUAGCGGUGAAAUGCGUAGAGAUCGGGAGGAAUACCAGUGGCGAAGGCGGCCUUCUGGACUGACACUGACACUGAGGUGCGAAAGCGUGGGUAGCAAACAGGAUUAGAUACCCCAGUAGUC